UUUCAAUAUUCAAGUACGUUCAAAUCUUCCACCACCCAGAAAUAAUCCUCAGAGUUUCAAUAUUUCAAAUCUUCCACCACCCAUAAAUAACCCUCAGGGUUUCAAUAUUCAAGUUUUUUCAAGUCUUCCACCACCCACAAAUAACCCUCAAGGUUUCAAUGGCAACAGGCCCUCAUACAGCCAAGUUUUGCUUACUAGCCAAG
RNAcentral lists this small RNA (203 nucleotides) under Vigna angularis var. angularis. RNAcentral's name for it is "Non-protein coding transcript". Lineage: Eukaryota; Viridiplantae; Streptophyta; Magnoliopsida; Fabales; Fabaceae. The record is from RNAcentral.